GGGCGAGGGCGCACGGCGGCGCUCGUGGGACUGACUAUAAAAGGCAGCCGCCGAUCCUACGUGUGAGACAAAGAUGAAGGCGACGAUGAGGAUGCUGGCGCUGGCAGCGGCGCUGAUGAGCGUGUCAGCUGCAAGGCUGGGCGUAGUCCAGACGGAGGGCGGCCAGGUCCAGGGCACCAGUCACGGUGUGGGCCUGUUCAGGUCUGUGGACGUCUUCAAAGGGAUCCCCUUCGCCGGCACCCCGGGACUGUGGGAGAAACCAAAACCUCAUCCCGGAUGGGACGGGGUUCUGAAGGCCACCGAGUACGCCGAGCGCUGCUUGCAGGUGACGUUGCUGCAGACCCAAACCAGAGGAAGUCUCGACUGUCUGUACCUCAACAUAUUUGUGCCUCAGGGACGCAAACUGUCGUCCAACCUGCCCGUCAUGGUGUACCUGUUCGGCGGGGCCUUCCUGCUGGGAGCGUCUGACGACUUGGCCGUCCUGGGAGAUUCGCUGUACGACGGCAAAGAAAUGGCCGAGCGGGGCAACGUCGUGGUGGUGUCGGCCAACUACCGCGUGGGAACGUUGGGCUUCCUCAGCACCGGAGACGCUCGCGUGCCAGGAAACUACGGCCUGUGGGAUCAGCACGCCGCCAUCAAGUGGGUGAGCAGGAACAUCGCCGCCUUCGGAGGAAACCCGGAUAACGUGACCAUAUUUGGCCAGUCGGCCGGGGCCGCCGGCGUCAGCUUCCAGAUGUUGUCCCCGCAUAAUAAAGGAUUAUUCCGCCGGGCCAUCAGUCAGUGCGGCGUGGCCUUGAGUCCUUGGGCCCUCCAGAGGAAACCCAUGGCACUCGCCAAGAAGAUUGCGCGCAAGGUCGGCUGUUACCGUAGCGACGAGGACCUGAUGGUGGCGUGCCUCAGGAUGACGGAUCCGGUGGGCCUGACCGCGGCGGGCAAGGUGGACGUCCUGCAGAUGUUGGGCAACGGCGUGGUCAUGGACCUCCUGGAACACGCCCCCGUGGUGGACGGCGACUUCCUCCCCGACGAGCCCGGUCGGCUCUUUCACAACGCCGCCGACGUGGACUACGUGGCUGGCGUCAACUCCAUGGACGGGCACAUAUUUGCGGGCGUGGACGUGCCCUCCAUCAACAAGAAGAAGGCCAACACCACCGUGGAGGACGUGCGAGGCCUCCUGACGGGCCUGACCAAAGAAAAAGGUACCGCCGCCGUCGCUUCGGCGCUGAGCGUGUACUCCGCCCACUGGGGCUCCGUCCCGGAUCCGGCAGCGGUGAAGAAGACGGUGGCUGACAUCGAGACGGACUUCCUGUUCCUGGUGCCGACCCAGAUCGCGCUCCGGCUCCACGCCGAGCACAGCAGCUUCGUGCUUCAGCGGGGGCCGGACCUUCUCCUACCUGUUCAACAUGAAGACCCGGAUCCCGGGCUUCCCGAGCUGGGCGGAGGCCGAGCACAGCGAGGAUCUCCAGUAUGUUUUUGGCAAACCCUUCGCCACGCCGCUCGUCUACUUCCCGCGACACCGCGACCUGUCCCGGAACAUGAUCGCUUACUGGACGAAUUUCGCCAAGACCGGCGAUCCCAGUCAAGGGGACGGUAAGGUUCCGGUGCCGUGGCCCGCCUUCACCAGAACUCGUCGUCCCUUCCUGACCAUCAACCACGAGAUGAGCGAGUCGUCCGUCAGCUACGACCUGAGAGAGGACUACGUCUCCUACUGGGUCAACAGGUACAGCGGCCUGCCGUCUGCACGCCAGUGACUCGAAGGCGCGAACCGCAGCGACGACGACAGCGCGCUUGCCGCAGAGGAAGCUCACCGGCGCCACGUUACGCCAUCGCAUUUGGAUUCUGUCAAAAUGUGAAAACCUUUGAAACAACUGACUUCUGGCUCUUCUGAUCACAUAUUUCAGGGAUGUACGCCACACGGGGAUAUUAAAGUGUACACGACGUGUAAAGUGUCAAGUAAAGUCAAGUGUACAAGGACUGCAAUAGGAUACUCCAGUGCAGGAAAGUUUCUACUUUGUCACCACAAACGGCUGAAUGUGCCAGCAAAGCAAAAU
RNA transcript from Syngnathoides biaculeatus (alligator pipefish), 2048 nucleotides. It is a transcript of the gene named bile salt-activated lipase-like, with no coding region annotated. The record is from RefSeq and is a predicted model, not a curated record. Lineage: Eukaryota; Metazoa; Chordata; Actinopteri; Syngnathiformes; Syngnathidae. The transcript has 12 exons.